Molecule: RNA transcript, 6088 nt
Organism: Anopheles stephensi (Asian malaria mosquito)
Lineage: Eukaryota; Metazoa; Arthropoda; Insecta; Diptera; Culicidae
Gene: lap
Gene name: phosphatidylinositol-binding clathrin assembly protein LAP
Exons: 14
Source: RefSeq, a predicted model, not a curated record
UUUGGUGAACUUUUCAUUCUGCUCAAGAAGAAUGAAGAGAACAAAUUAGAUUGAAAAGUGUGUACACGGGGCGGUGCGCUAGAUUGAGUGCGUAUGCGUGGACAAAAUCUCGAAUUAGUUAAAUUCCAGCAGUAAAUCUACGUUCGUUCGGGAGAAAAGUGUGAAGUGUAGUCGGUCAGUCCUAGUUCUCGGAGGCAGUAGCGACGAAAUAGUGGUCUGCAUUAGGGUACAGCAUAAUUCCUACACUGCUGGCAUAGUAGACAUUACGACACGCGAAGGCGAAGCGUAUCGAGUGAUAUCCUCCAUACGGCAGUACAACAAGAUUGCGGCAGCGGUGGACGAAUUGGUAGAAGAUAAUUUACGGCAUUUUCGUACUCGCUGUUUUGAUAGGUGAUCCCCGGAGCGUGGGAAGCUUCUGGCCGAAGAAAUUGUCCACAGCACCAUCGUGCGCUUGUACGGCUGUAUGUGUUUGCGCGAGUGAGUGUGUGUGAGUGUGUGCUUGUGCCUGACGCGUAUGUCAUUUUUCGGCCCUUGUGCGUGAAAAGCAACGACGAAGAGCAGUGUAGUGUGUAAGCGCAGUGCAGCUUGCUUUAUAGCUGGUGGCACGGAAAGAAAAAAGCCAACGAAGUGAUUUUUGGUCCACAGAUUACGAAAGAAACGAUAGUCAUUGGAACCAAUACGCACUAGUGGUCGGCUGUUGGCGGCUGGAACGCGAAACUCAUAGCGCUAGAGAACGGUGACGUCAGAAAGGAUCUGAAAAGGAUAACGUGUAGCGAACAUGGCUGGCCAAACGAUCAAUGACAGGUUGCUGGCAGCACGACACAGCCUUGCUGGACAAGGGCUGGCAAAAUCCGUGUGCAAGGCUACGACGGAAGAGAUGAUUGGCCCGAAGAAAAAACAUCUUGAUUACUUGGUACAUUGCACCAACGAACCGAAUGUAUCAAUUCCCCAUCUUGCCACCCUACUGAUUGAGCGAUCUCAGAAUGCCAAUUGGGUGGUGGUAUACAAAGCAUUGAUCACAACCCAUCACAUGCUGGCCUAUGGAAACGAGCGAUUUAUCCAAUAUUUGGCGUCAAGCAAUUCGUCCUUCCAGUUGAACAACUUUCUCGAUAAGGGUGGAGUGCAAGGCGCUGUCGGUGCUCGUAUGGGUUAUGACAUGUCUCCGUUUAUACGGCGCUACGCAAAAUAUCUCAACGAGAAGGCACUGUCGUACCGUACAGUGGCCUUCGAUUUCUGCAAAAUGAAGCGCGGAAAGGAGGAAGGUUCGUUGCGCGUGAUGCACGCCGAUAAGCUGCUGAAGACGUUGCCCAUUCUGCAGGCUCAGUUAGAUUCGUUGCUGGAGUUCGAUUGCACUGCAAACGAUCUGACAAAUGGAGUUAUCAACAUGUGCUUCAUGUUAUUAUUCCGCGAUUUGAUACGGCUGUUCGCUUGCUACAACGAUGGCAUCAUUAAUCUGCUGGAGAAGUAUUUCGACAUGAACAAGAAGCAAUGCCGCGAUGCAUUGGAUUUGUACAAAAAGUUUCUCACCCGUAUGGAUCGUGUUGGAGAGUUUCUCAAGGUCGCAGAGAACGUUGGCAUUGAUAAGGGCGACUUACCAGAUCUUACCAAAGCGCCGAGUUCUCUGCUAGAUGCGCUGGAGCAGCAUUUGCUGGCUCUAGAGGGCAAGAAGGGAUCGGCAGCGAACACUCCCACCCAAACGGCAAGUAAUCAAAAGAAUGUUAAAAGCGGUGUGAAUGCUCUUACAUCGACCAGCUCGUCGUUUGGGAUUGUGGCGGAAUCAAGCAAGUUUGACAGUCCCACCAACGGUAUGAUCGACGAAAGCUUGAAAGCUCAGGUGUUGGCUGAAGAAGAGGCUGCGAUGAACCAGUACAAGUCAAAAGUAUCAUCACCAACAACGGCCACGGCUAUAACAAAUCCGUUCCUGUCGUCUCCAACCACUAGUCAAAAUAACAUCGUCGAUCUGUUUGAGGCUCCAAAACCUGUGCAGGACCAGCAAGCGGCCGCUGCGUCGUCUAAGGCGUCGGAUGAUUUACUGCAGCUGGGCAAUCCGUUUGCAGAUGUUUUCGCCACGCCAGCCCCGGUCGCUAGUACGGUUCCGGCAGGAAGCACCAAUGCGUUUGCAGCCACCAAUGCAUGGAUGGGCAAUGGAGGGUUUAAUGGCAGUAUGGCAGCCGCAGCGGUCCCUGGAAUGGCCGGGCAAGCUGUCCCGGGCGGUGACACAUUCGUUUCCGACAACAACUUUACUUCCGUGUUUGGUGGUAUGGAACAAAAUGGAUCCAGCGCGCCUCCGGCCGCUGCCACUCAACCUGGCAAGGUGUUGACGGGCGAUUUGGAUAGUUCACUGGCGUCGUUAGCCGAAAGUCUUACCAUCAACAAGUCCAGCUGUGGGAAAAAUAUGCAGUGGAGCUCUCCGAAGACAUCGGCCAAAACUGGAUCGGCUGGAUGGUCCCCGCAGCCCCAACCGGCUACCAAUCAAACCGGCUACAAACCAAUGACUGACAAUUGAAAGUUGGUUAGUAACGUUGCUAGUCAUUAAUAAUAUACCACCUAAUAAUACCUAAUUCGAAUAUCCUUACUCGUUGUUGGCUCGCGUCGAGCGACUAAAUCGAUCCCGAGUUCACAUAAUCGUUUAGACUAACACCUUUAAUAAUAGCACACAUCCGUAUCGGGAAUGAAGUUGCAAUGGUUCCGAGCGAACCACCAACCCGUUCGUUUUCCUUUCUUAAGUUUUCAUUCAAACUUAUCACCCUUGUUUUCCUAAGGAGAGUGCGUUGCUUGAAAAAGCGAGUGGUUCUUAGCGGUUGACCGUGUAGCUGUGCGUAGUUAGUGAAACGUGAUCCUUUUUUUUUUGUUUCUGUCACAGUAAUGUGAUAACGAAUAUUAGUAAUUUUUAACAGCAAAGAGAGGCUAUUAUCCCUGUGCUAUAAGUGUUUCCAUUCUUUUAUAGUUAGUCUGCUAGUGUAAUAUACUCGUACCGGUUGGUUCGAUUGUGUGCGCGGUAGUGUUUGUUUUACAUUCUAAUAUUUUUAGUGUUAGUCGUUUUGAUUACCCUUAUCAGUUGUUAAUUUAAUUUUUAUUUCUUAUCUUUUCUCCUUUUUUCGGUGAAAUUUCCUUUCCUUUCUUUUCUUCACAUUGCUGUAUUUUGAUUAACGUGUGUGCUAUCGAUGUCGAUGUUGUUUUGGCUUGAAUGUACAAUUGUGUCUGUCUGAUUAUUAUGCCCUAUGUAUGUACGUUUUUGGUUUUGUUGAUCUUUGUUGGGAUGUGUGUAUGUGUUGUAUGUGCGCGUGUUGCGGUUGUUCUCCCUUUUUGCGGGUGAAUAAUAAUACUACGGUUGCGCUGUGACACAAGGCACAAGGUAUGGCUGUAUUUCCAGUUCCUAGCACAAUACAUCCAAGCACGCACACUCCCCUUCCUGUUGUAGUGCCAGGAUAUUACAUUCAGCAAGGAAUGUCCCAGAUCAGGCCAAUGAUGGGUGCUACCAUGUCCGGAACAACAUCAGCAACAAUGGCCCCUGGAAUGGUCCCUGCGGGCAUGGCCCCCCCGCAACCGGUGCUUACUAGUCAACAACCACCGAUGCACAUGCAACCGGUAAUGAUGCAACAACCAGCGCCAGCGAUGCCUUCCAACGCGGCGGCGGCGGCGGCUGGCAAUAUUCAGUUGGAUCCAUUCGGAGCACUCUAAGCACUGAAUUAUGUGUUAUUCAGAGGCACCCACUCAGACCUAUACCCAUACACACCUACACUUAUCGCGGGAUGUGUAGAGCAUUAAUAAGUAGCAGUGAGCAGUCAGCUAGAACCGUUUUCUGAUAAAUGUGUACGGACGGACUUUCUUUUUCUUCUUCUUUUUGCUUAGAAGUGAGAGCAAAAUGGAGUAUAUUAAGUUUACCUAGAGGUUGAAGAAUUGUGACAACAAUCGUUUGCAUAAUGGUGCGAGGCAACCAUCCCCGUAGAAGGAAUGACAAAAUGGCGCCGAAAGUGUGCCCAUCUCGCAACACGAGCAUUACCGCUGGAACUCUUUCAAUGUAAAAAUCAAGGGGGAAUGUAACGGUGAAGAUAAUGGUGAUUAUAGAGCAAAACUUGCCCGCUCCUACUGUUUGUGCUAAUAACGCGCUAAUGCUUGAGCCGCACUAUGCAUGGCAUAGUCAAAUGCAAGCUGGAGGUUAAUUAAUUAGCACGGAAGAUUACAAUACAUCAUAGAAGAAGAAGACUGUGCAGCAUGUCGAUAGGCAAACGCAUGUGCUGGUGGUGUGGUGGACCUUGAUUCGCAUAUGCGCGAGCCAUUUCUGCAUGACAUGAUAAUUUGAUACACGGCUGGCAGCAAUCGUGUGAGGAUAAAAAGAAGAAACCAUUCCAAUACCAUCGACAAGCACCAUGGACGAUUUGGGGGAGCAUUCUAGCAUGUUGGUACACUCUUCUGGACUAGCAACACGACGGAAUGUUGCUUCACACGCAGGCGUGGAAGUAAGUGUGUGGCACGGGAUAGAAAGGCCUGUCGUUUCUAAUCAUUCCAAUCCGUGAUUUCGCUGUUUUUUCGAUUCAGUAACGACUCAAUGUGCUAACAAGCGUGCUGUAUACGCGGGUGUAUUGAUGGUCCUUUUUUGUUUUGAGCUAUACUCCCUGCACACCUAUUUCGGUGGGUCGGUCGGUGGGUAUGAAGCAAGAAUUAGUUUGUUUAUAGGAUCCUCCGUGUGCAGGUUGGAUACGCGGACGCUGCAGUAUCAUAUAAGAAUAUCGUAUAACAAUAAUGGGAGAAGGAAUGAAAUGUAAAUGAUGGUAGAAAAACAAGGCGUAAGGGCUACGCAUAUUUCCCCGUAGUGGACAGUGGCUUCUUCGGCAAUAUGCUGUUAGUGUGUUGCUUCUGUUGCAGUAUUACCGCUGCUUCGACAUUCAUAUAUGUAUCUAACGAAAUGCUACAAAGAAACUGUUGUUGUUCUCUAUUGAAUAUAGUUGUGUUUACAAAAUCCGCAAGCAAAGCAAUGAAACAAAAAGAUGCCGCACCCCGCCCCUCCUAAUCGUGUUCUUCACCCUCCCUCCGCUUGAUCUAUCUAGUAACGGAAUGAAAGCCGACCUAUAGCCGGCUGGCUAUCCUGUGUUUCCGCAAACAAGUGCAAAUACUACAAAAGUAGAAAUUAAUAAUAACGAUAUGAGUAAUCUUACAAUACGGACGGCAAGUGAAGGCAAGUGAAGGCUGGGGAAACACUGUCGUAUGAAGGUGGCAAUUCGUAUGCAUGUAUUUAUGAAUAUAAAAAUGUAGUAAUAUUAUAUCUAUACUGUACACAUUACUGUAUUUUGGGCUGCAAGAUGUGCGCGGGCUCGUGGAUGGCAAGAAAAUACAAUAAGUAAAUACAUUAUAUCGUACCAGAAGGACACACACACACAUACAUAUAUAUACACAUACUUCUUGCUGUGAAGGAAGCUUAUCAUAUAAUACUUAGAACGUAAUGUGUUGUGUUUAUUCCCCUGAAAGCAGAUAGUGCAAUAGGGCCAGUUGUUUACUAAUGAAGAUGAUAAAUGUAAUGCGAGAGGGAAGUGAGGCGACGGUGGGUUGUGACGGAUAAGAGACAAAGUGAGUGUACUUAUCGCCGCCCAACAGCGUAGCGAAGGCGCAACUGCAGAAUCUAGGAUCGUCCGAAAUCACCCAACAUGUUAUUGGUUUGCCUUGGCGGAAGCUUGUGUUGUUGCCAGCAUUCAGACGCUAUUCAAUCAAUUGCUAUUUGAUGUUGCACGAACGAUAGCGUGGUGCAAUGGUUGGUUUGUUACUUGCCUACUUUUAAUGAGCAGAUUCCGUUCUGUCUGAUAGCCGCCAAUACGUUUGCAUGCCAUAGAGCGAGCAGUAGUAGAAAGAUGAGAUAAGGAAGGGUACUACAAUAAUUUGCAAUUUUAAGUAAACUGUUUUUUCGCUUCCGAAGCGUGCGGAGAGUUAUCGGCCGAGAAGUUUGACGAAGCUUUGGUUGAAAUUUAAAUGCGACAUAUAAACUUCUAAAAUUACAAAACAGAGAUGGUUACAUGCGUAUAUAUAUAUAUACACAUAUACAUAUAUGAAAUUAGGACUCAAUGAAUAAAACUGAAAAAGGUAUAGUAGGAAUGUA